RNAcentral lists this ribosomal RNA (498 nucleotides) under uncultured bacterium. RNAcentral's name for it is "partial 16S ribosomal RNA". It matches the Rfam family "Bacterial small subunit ribosomal RNA", at positions 899 to 1397 of the family's 1533-position model. The record is from RNAcentral.
ACUCAAAGGAAUUGACGGGGGCCCGCACAAGCGGUGGAGCAUGUGGUUUAAUUCGAUGCAACGCGAAAAACCUUACCUGGUCUUGACAUCCAUAGAAUUUUAUAGAAAUAUAAAAGUGCCUUAGGGAGCUAUGAGACAGGUGCUGCAUGGCUGUCGUCAGCUCGUGUUGUGAAAUGUUGGGUUAAGUCCCGCAACGAGCGCAACCCUUAUUCUUUGUUGCCAACGGUUUGGCCGGGAACUCAAAGAAGACUGCCGGUUAUAAACCGGAGGAAGGUGGGGACGACGUCAAGUCAUCAUGGCCCUUACGACCAGGGCUACACACGUGCUACAAUGGUAUAUACAAAGAGAUGCAACUCUGCGAAGAUAAGCAAACCUCACAAAGUAUAUCGUAGUCCGGACUGGAGUCUGCAACUCGACUCCACGAAGUCGGAAUCGCUAGUAAUCGUGGAUCAGAAUGUCACGGUGAAUACGUUCCCGGGCCUUGUACACACCGCCCGU